GCGUGAGACUUGGCAGCCCUGGAUCAUAUUUUUCAUUUAGUGUUAAGAUUUUAAAAUCUCAACUCAACAUAUCGAGACAAACAAUGAUAUUCCAUACUGUCAGUACUUAGCUACUGAGACUACUAUAGCUGCUGUGGGUUCAUUUAUUUCCAUUGGUACUAAUUUUAGAUUUUUAGUGGAUUGAGAAAACAUGGAAAACUUUUCUUGGAUAU
This 212-nucleotide long non-coding RNA is filed under the name Mytilus galloprovincialis (Mediterranean mussel). The record is from RNAcentral. Lineage: Eukaryota; Metazoa; Mollusca; Bivalvia; Mytilida; Mytilidae.